GCCGGGUGGGGAAACGUGUUUUCCAGUCAGCGAGCGCCGUCGUCGCUCGGGCAACAGCGUCCUAGCGACACCGCGUGGGCUGGGCCUCUGUGGCCAGGGGGCCCUGGAAUCCGCGCGCCGAGUUGGCUCCCAUGAGUCGGAGGAUUGAGAAAGGGGCCGGGCUGUCCACCUCUCCCGUGCAGAGAUCUCUGCAUCGCCCUUGCUGUGACCCCUCCAGCUGACUGGCACAUGGAGACAGAACCAGCUCUAGCAGAAUGCUCAGGAGUCUGGGGCCCGCCUGGAGCAGGAAUCCACUGGGAGCCCACUGGCUGUUAACAAGGCAGUUGCUUUCGUAAAGCCUCUUGACUGGGAUCAAGUGAAUGUUUAAGUGCUGUCUAGGACAUCGAUGCCAUUCAGAAGAGGAGAUGUAAAGGGAAGGAGUGUUUGGG
RNAcentral lists this long non-coding RNA (428 nucleotides) under Bos mutus (wild yak). RNAcentral describes it as "lncRNA (ENSBMUG00000004467.1)". Lineage: Eukaryota; Metazoa; Chordata; Mammalia; Artiodactyla; Bovidae. The record is from RNAcentral.